This 1346-nucleotide ribosomal RNA is filed under the name Escherichia coli. Its description in RNAcentral is "partial 23S ribosomal RNA". It matches the Rfam family "Bacterial large subunit ribosomal RNA", at positions 418 to 1766 of the family's 2925-position model. The record is from RNAcentral. Lineage: Bacteria; Pseudomonadati; Pseudomonadota; Gammaproteobacteria; Enterobacterales; Enterobacteriaceae.
CGGGACACGUGGUAUCCUGUCUGAAUAUGGGGGGACCAUCCUCCAAGGCUAAAUACUCCUGACUGACCGAUAGUGAACCAGUACCGUGAGGGAAAGGCGAAAAGAACCCCGGCGAGGGGAGUGAAAAAGAACCUGAAACCGUGUACGUACAAGCAGUGGGAGCACGCUUAGGCGUGUGACUGCGUACCUUUUGUAUAAUGGGUCAGCGACUUAUAUUCUGUAGCAAGGUUAACCGAAUAGGGGAGCCGAAGGGAAACCGAGUCUUAACUGGGCGUUAAGUUGCAGGGUAUAGACCCGAAACCCGGUGAUCUAGCCAUGGGCAGGUUGAAGGUUGGGUAACACUAACUGGAGGACCGAACCGACUAAUGUUGAAAAAUUAGCGGAUGACUUGUGGCUGGGGGUGAAAGGCCAAUCAAACCGGGAGAUAGCUGGUUCUCCCCGAAAGCUAUUUAGGUAGCGCCUCGUGAAUUCAUCUCCGGGGGUAGAGCACUGUUUCGGCAAGGGGGUCAUCCCGACUUACCAACCCGAUGCAAACUGCGAAUACCGGAGAAUGUUAUCACGGGAGACACACGGCGGGUGCUAACGUCCGUCGUGAAGAGGGAAACAACCCAGACCGCCAGCUAAGGUCCCAAAGUCAUGGUUAAGUGGGAAACGAUGUGGGAAGGCCCAGACAGCCAGGAUGUUGGCUUAGAAGCAGCCAUCAUUUAAAGAAAGCGUAAUAGCUCACUGGUCGAGUCGGCCUGCGCGGAAGAUGUAACGGGGCUAAACCAUGCACCGAAGCUGCGGCAGCGACGCUGAUGCGUUGUUGGGUAGGGGAGCGUUCUGUAAGCCUGUGAAGGUGUGCUGUGAGGCAUGCUGGAGGUAUCAGAAGUGCGAAUGCUGACAUAAGUAACGAUAAAGCGGGUGAAAAGCCCGCUCGCCGGAAGACCAAGGGUUCCUGUCCAACGUUAAUCGGGGCAGGGUGAGUCGACCCCUAAGGCGAGGCCGAAAGGCGUAGUCGAUGGGAAACAGGUUAAUAUUCCUGUACUUGGUGUUACUGCGAAGGGGGGACGGAGAAGGCUAUGUUGGCCGGGCGACGGUUGUCCCGGUUUAAGCGUGUAGGCUGGUUUUCCAGGCAAAUCCGGAAAAUCAAGGCUGAGGCGUGAUGACGAGGCACUACGGUGCUGAAGCAACAAAUGCCCUGCUUCCAGGAAAAGCCUCUAAGCAUCAGGUAACAUCAAAUCGUACCCCAAACCGACACAGGUGGUCAGGUAGAGAAUACCAAGGCGCUUGAGAGAACUCGGGUGAAGGAACUAGGCAAAAUGGUGCCGUAACUUCGGGAGAAGGCACGCUGAUAUGUAGGUGAA